UUUCUACUCAUAGCAUUGAUGCGACACGGGUACAAGCGCCGACACGUCAUGGAAACAACAAGGCAAUCGUCAUAUCUAACAUUUGGGACCUCGGGUUAAUUGCGACCUUACUUGUCGUUAAAAGGAGGUCCGCUCAACCCCUUCCCCUCUCAAGUCUCUGCUCUUGCUCACACAAAUACACUUCUGAACACAGUGUCAACAGCAACCAUACUCUAAUGCAUGUUGGGUGUUCGGAAUAUGUAUCACCUAUAGUCUUUUAAUUCAUCAGCGAAAAAUAGUCGUCUAAUUUCAAGAAACGUUGAGAUGGAAUUUCUUCCUGGCUUCACAUGUGUAGGAAUCAGAGGCACCAGGAAAUUAACAAGAACUACUCCAGAUAAUGUUCCUUGAGAGAUGGAAAUUUGUGGAACUUCCGUGGCCUGUUGAUGUUGUUGUUUAGGUCCCCAUAAAUUAGGUAUGGCACACUAUUCAGACAUGCGUACACCCAUCACAACUACACGCGGCUCCUGAAUUACUUCCUCAUCAGAAAAUUCUGGUGGUAUUAUUAAUGACCAUGACAAAAUCCCUCUCGAAAUAAAAGUCUAUGCAUCACACAUGAUUCAAAACACAACUUGGUUGUACAAUUGUCUUGUCAUUAGGUAGAUAUUUAUCCUGCAUAGAGGGAGGUGGAGCUAGGUUGUGGACGGAUGCUUCUGUAGCUUAGUUUUUUGUUUCAUUCACUCUUAUUUCUGACUAUUUACUAGUUAUGUGGCCUUUGAUAUAAACAUUAUGUGCAUCCUGGAGUUGACACCCUCGAAACGAGUUUUUGGCCUAUUCUUUACUCCAUUCAUUCCUAAUUAUAAGGUCUAAUAUUUUUAGAUAGGCCGGAUGUGCCAUCAUUUUACUAUUUCAUUCAUGCUUUUUUUUGCACUUUGGGCUUUUUAAGCUCUUUGGAUCUAAGAUACUAUUUUAUUUAUCUUUAAUAAUAUGGCUGCAUGCAUCGAUUGAUGCAGAGGCCGGGGGCUCGCUUCCUCCUUAUCAAAAAAAAACUUUAACCAAAUUUAUAGACAAAAAAAUCAACAUCUAGAAUACCAAAUCAUUAUCACUAGAUUCACUAUAAGAUAUAUUUUUAUAUUUUAUAUUGUAAAUAUUUAUAUAUUUUGAUGUACAGUUCGUCAAAUAUAGACAAUGUUUGACUUUAAAAAAAUUAAUACACCAUUAUUUAUGAACGGAGGGAGUAUGUAUGAUCAAUCCUCUACAAUCUUCUUCUAAUAAACCACACACAUGAUUAUGCACAUAACAAGAUGAGCAGAAAGGGGGACUCAGCUGUGAUUUCACAAUGCCUUCACUCACUUGAUUGCAUGAUACAAGAAGAACGCAUCUACGGAAAAAGUACAAGCGAGCACCUAUGAGGCUGACUGAUAAAAGCACCUGCCUUCAAAAGCUUCCUCUGGCCGCAUCUUCUCCCUAUAGGGUGCAUCCUUGGGCAUAUGGCCCCCUUGUAGGUCGUCCUGAUCUAAUUCCACUUCUAUAAAUUCUGAAAUAUUUUAACAACAUCCAAGACAUGUACGAAACACCCUUUUCACCGUCGCAAGUCUUUGUUCCGCCAUGAUCCCAUCUGAAGACCUUUUUCGGUGCCGUGUCAGAGGAGGAAUCCAUCACGGACGCCAUCAACAUCAACCUUGAUGUCUCCAUGAUGAUGUGUGAGUAGUCCACCAUAGGCCAACGGGUCCAUAGCUAGUACCUAGAUGUCUUCUUCUCUCUCUAUGAUCUUCAAUACAACUUUUGUCGCGAUUCUCUCGGUGAUCUAUUCGAUGUAAUCCUCUUUUAUGGUGUGUUUGUUGGUACUUGAUGAAUUGUGGGUUUAUGAUCAGAUUACUCAUUGAAAGUAAUGGAGUUUCCUCUGAAUUCUAUUAUGCAUUAUUUUUUAGUUUUUUUUGCGGGGCUAUGCAUUUCUCUUCAAUCUAUGUGUUUGGUUUGGCCAACUAGAUUUAUUUAGCUUCGAUGGAAGUGGUGCUCUAUAUCUCAGUGAUAAAAAGGGACACGCAAUAUAUUAGUAUUGUUCUCACUAAGGAUAAAAUGACAAGGUCUCAGCAUAUUGCUUGUCUUACUUUGUCUACAUCAUACCAUCUUUCUCCAAGCAUUCUUAUGUUUAUCCUGAACUUGAGAUCUAGAGAGGCAAGCAUAGAAGCGCUCUCGAAGUGGAGUAACCGUAGUAGAUGCAGGCAGGAGUCGGACUACAUGUUUAUGGACAUGAUGCCUAUAUACACAUAAUCAUCGUCCUGAAUAACAUCUCAUAACUAUGCGGUAUUCUAUCAGUUGUCCAACAAAAAUUUGUCUAUCCACUGUGUGCUAUGUUCGAAAGUGAAGGCUCUAGCGAAGAGUGUGGUCCCCCGGUCUAGUUAAUCCUAUUGCAAAAAUCCAAAAUUAGCUUGUUGUUCUUUUAUUUUAUUCAUUCACUUUUGCUAUUUAUAUUAUCUAUCUAUCAGAAUUAAUCAUUGCAUAUAACGAGUUCAAGGGGUUUAUUAAUCCUCUUGCCCGCAUUGGGUGCAAGUGUUUGGUCUUGUGUGUGUAUAGGUGCUGACGAAGAGAGUUUGCUUGAUUCUCCUAUUGUUUUCCAGUUGACGGCUUGUACUGGACGUCUUGGUCUUUGUCAGCAGUGGUGUUGGGGCAGAGGGAUUAACUUGCAAGGUGGGGUCGUCCUUCUUGUCAUCCUCCCCCUAGCGAUCAACUAGGCUUGUGGUUGUGCUCCGGCGUGAACUACUCUGCCUAUGGAGGGCAUGGCAUCGUACGAUCUAGGACGAGAAGGCAGUGGGUCCUUUUAGAAGGC
Molecule: long non-coding RNA, 2806 nt
Filed under: Hordeum vulgare
Lineage: Eukaryota; Viridiplantae; Streptophyta; Magnoliopsida; Poales; Poaceae
Description: long non-coding RNA (HVUL_LNC006294)
Source: RNAcentral